AGCUCACUGGGUCGAGUCGGCCUGCGCGGAAGAUGUAACGGGGCUAAACCAUGCACCGAAGCUGCGGCAGCGACGCUUAUGCGUUGUUGGGUAGGGGAGCGUUCUGUAAGCCUGUGAAGGUGUGCUGUGAGGCAUGCUGGAGGUAUCAGAAGUGCGAAUGCUGACAUAAGUAACGAUAAAGCGGGUGAAAAGCCCGCUCGCCGGAAGACCAAGGGUUCCUGUCCAACGUUAAUCGGGGCAGGGUGAGUCGACCCCUAAGGCGAGGCCGAAAGGCGUAGUCGAUGGGAAACAGGUUAAUAUUCCUGUACUUGGUGUUACUGCGAAGGGGGGACGGAGAAGGCUAUGUUGGCCGGGCGACGGUUGUCCCGGUUUAAGCGUGUAGGCUGGUUUUCCAGGCAAAUCCGGAAAAUCAAGGCUGAGGCGUGAUGACGAGGCACUACGGUGCUGAAGCAACAAAUGCCCUGCUUCCAGGAAAAGCCUCUAAGCAUCAGGUAACAUCAAAUCGUACCCCAAACCGACACAGGUGGUCAGGUAGAGAAUACCAAGGCGCUUGAGAGAACUCGGG
RNAcentral lists this ribosomal RNA (565 nucleotides) under Escherichia coli. RNAcentral describes it as "bacterial LSU rRNA". It matches the Rfam family "Bacterial large subunit ribosomal RNA", at positions 1139 to 1704 of the family's 2925-position model. The record is from RNAcentral. Lineage: Bacteria; Pseudomonadati; Pseudomonadota; Gammaproteobacteria; Enterobacterales; Enterobacteriaceae.